This is a non-coding RNA of Ceratobasidium sp. 414, 102 nucleotides long. NCBI's taxonomy places the organism in Eukaryota, Fungi, Basidiomycota, Agaricomycetes, Cantharellales, Ceratobasidiaceae. The record is from the annotation of a GenBank genome assembly.
UCCGGUAUGGUGUAACGGCUAACAUUGUCGCCUUUCAUUUCGACACAUGUCAAUUUGAAAUUCAUGUCGCGACGGCUCGGGGUUCGAUUCCCCGUACCGGAG